UCAGAAGUUUCCCUCAUGAUAGCUGGAGUACGUAAUGAAGCUGUUAUAUUCGGUAAAGCAAAUGAUUAGAGGAAUUGUGGGACGAAUCGUCUUCAACCUAUUCUCAAACUUUUGAUGAGUAUGACGUCUCAUAUACUUGGAUGAAGUGUAGACGUUGAGUGUGUGCUUCACGUACGUCAUUUUUGGUGAGCAGAAGUGACGCUGUGGGAGGAACCAAACGUUGGGUUGCUUCAAACUAUAUUGCAUACACAAUUUACGCUGUGUUCGUAAGCCAGA
Molecule: non-coding RNA, 276 nt
Filed under: Onchocerca ochengi
Lineage: Eukaryota; Metazoa; Nematoda; Chromadorea; Rhabditida; Onchocercidae
Description: Eukaryotic large subunit ribosomal RNA
Rfam family: Eukaryotic large subunit ribosomal RNA
Source: Rfam by way of RNAcentral